Non-coding RNA from Physcomitrium patens, 459 nucleotides. The record is from RefSeq and is a predicted model, not a curated record. Lineage: Eukaryota; Viridiplantae; Streptophyta; Bryopsida; Funariales; Funariaceae.
CUUCUCGUUCCCGUCGCGUGCACGUUGCUUGUUUGCCGUCUCUCUCUCCAGCGCUCGCUGCCGCUGAAGGCGGGAUUUGUAUUUUCCAUCAUGGAUGAUGGUGCCCCUGCUGCGCGUCUUGGCUCCGCCUCACCCUGGACGUGCAGCAAUGGUGCAACUUUUGAGAAUGCCAGAGGAUGUUUUUGAAACCCAAUGUCAAGCUCACUGCACCACCCAAGAGAAAAAUAUCUACAGAAAUGCUUUUGUUGACAUUAGUUUGCGAUAUUGAUUCCAAUUAAAAUGUCACAUGCUAAAUUAUGAUGAUAUGUGACAUGAAUCAUUAUCAUAUCCAUUCCACUUGUUUCUUCUCUUGUACUUGUUUUAAAAUUUUGAAAGUCAGUACAACUGUGUUAAUUUGUUGUUUAAAUAGCCUCAAAAUUAGAAAUUGCAACCCGAGCAAGUUGCAUAGAAAUCACUUUU